GACGAACGCUGGCGGCGCGCCUAACACAUGCAAGUCGAACGAGCGAGAGAGAGCUUGCUUUCUCAAGCGAGUGGCGAACGGGUGAGUAACGCGUGAGGAACCUGCCUCAAAGAGGGGGACAACAGUUGGAAACGACUGCUAAUACCGCAUAAGCCCACGACCCGGCAUCGGGUAGAGGGAAAAGGAGCAAUCCGCUUUGAGAUGGCCUCGCGUCCGAUUAGCUAGUUGGUGAGGUAACGGCCCACCAAGGCGACGAUCGGUAGCCGGACUGAGAGGUUGAACGGCCACAUUGGGACUGAGACACGGCCCAGACUCCUACGGGAGGCAGCAGUGGGGAAUAUUGCACAAUGGGGGAAACCCUGAUGCAGCGACGCCGCGUGGAGGAAGAAGGUCUUCGGAUUGUAAACUCCUGUUGUUGAGGAAGAUAAUGACGGUACUCAACAAGGAAGUGACGGCUAACUACGUGCCAGCAGCCGCGGUAAAACGUAGGUCACAAGCGUUGUCCGGAAUUACUGGGUGUAAAGGGAGCGCAGGCGGGAAGACAAGUUGGAAGUGAAAUCCAUGGGCUCAACCCAUGAACUGCUUUCAAAACUGUUUUUCUUGAGUAGUGCAGAGGUAGGCGGAAUUCCCGGUGUAGCGGUGGAAUGCGUAGAUAUCGGGAGGAACACCAGUGGCGAAGGCGGCCUACUGGGCACCAACUGACGCUGAGGCUCGAAAGUGUGGGUAGCAAACAGGAUUAGAUACCCUGGUAGUCCACACUGUAAA
RNAcentral lists this ribosomal RNA (765 nucleotides) under uncultured bacterium. RNAcentral describes it as "bacterial SSU rRNA". It matches the Rfam family "Bacterial small subunit ribosomal RNA", at positions 28 to 806 of the family's 1533-position model. The record is from RNAcentral.